UACGAAGGGUGCUAGCGUUGUUCGGAAUCACUGGGCGUAAAGCGCUCGUAGGCGGCUAUUCAAGUCAGGGGUGAAAUCCCAGAGCUUAACUCUGGAAUUGCCUUUGAAACUGUUUAGCUUGAGUGUCGGAGGGGAUAGCGGAAUUGCUAAUGUAGCGGUGAAAUGCGUAGAUAUUAGCAGGAACACCGGUGGCGAAGGCGGCUAUCUGGACGACAACUGACGCUGAUGUGCGAAAGCGUGGGGAUCAAACAGG
Molecule: ribosomal RNA, 253 nt
Filed under: uncultured bacterium
Lineage: Bacteria
Description: partial 16S ribosomal RNA
Rfam family: Bacterial small subunit ribosomal RNA
Source: RNAcentral